Molecule: long non-coding RNA, 862 nt
Organism: Leopardus geoffroyi (Geoffroy's cat)
Lineage: Eukaryota; Metazoa; Chordata; Mammalia; Carnivora; Felidae
Exons: 2
Source: RefSeq, a predicted model, not a curated record
AUGCAAGGUGUCUGGGAAGUUUGGAGGCUACAGAUGUUCUUUCCCCAUAUCUUACCUGAAAAGACAGUCAAGAAAAGCAGAAUGAAGAGCCCCAUGACUGGAAGGAAGUGAACCUUCACCUGGAAUGAGGGGAUCCUGACAUCGUCAAGAACCAGCCUCUCCGAUGGCUCCCGGCAUUCAUGCUGUUGUUCCCUCUUCAACCGAAUCAGGGCUGGCCUGUGUGAUCAAGAAAACCAAUGAAAAUUAGAUAGCAAUUGAUAAUUUGUGUGGUCAUAUUUUUUAAAAUCAGUAUUAUUUCUGAGAAAGCUGCGUGCAAAUCGUGCACUGGGAAUGGCUCGGAGAAAGUGCCGUGAAACCAAAGAAAAGCACCAACAGAAGGAGAAAUGGAUUGUGCCCAGACGUCAGUGAAGUGCGCAAGUCAUGAAAAGGUGACGUUCUAAAGCAAAUGAGAGGCCCGGAGUUAUAGAGAAUGGACGGAUGUGUCUUAUCAGUAUCCUGACUCCCAGGUGGUGCAGUUAGUUCUCCUGGUGCCUCAUAAGGGCAGAAUUAAUUUUUGCUCCUUAGAUGGGCAAACUAAGAAGAUGAAUGGGUAAGAAGCAGAAGCCCACUGAUCAUUUAAAAACUACCUUUUACAAAUAAAACCUGAAAUGUUUGCAGAGGAAAUUAAUUGAUGUCCCCAAAUUUCAAGAUAGUCAGGGUAGGGCAAGCAGGUGGGUAGGGGCAUAGAGGGAACAAGAUUGGCUGUAAGUGGACCAUUAUUAAAGCAGCAUAAUAGAUAUCGGAGGGGUCAUUUUUCUGGUCUCUCCACUUUUGUGUGCCUGAAGUGUUCCAUAAUAAAAAGUAAAACAAACAAACAAACAAA